UACGUAGGGGUCGAGCGUUGUCCGGAGUUACUGGGCGUAAAGCGUGCGCAGGCGGCUCAUUGCGCCCGGCGUGAAAGCCCCCGGCUCAACUGGGGAGGGUCAUUCGAUACUGUUCGACUCGAAGGCAGGAGAGGGAAGUGGAAUUCCGGGUGUAGUGGUGAAAUGCGUAGAUAUCCGGAGGAACACCAGUGGCGAAGGCGACUUUCUGGCCUGUUCUUGACGCUGAGGCGCGAAAGCUAGGGGAGCAAACGGG
RNAcentral lists this ribosomal RNA (253 nucleotides) under uncultured bacterium. RNAcentral's name for it is "partial 16S ribosomal RNA". It matches the Rfam family "Bacterial small subunit ribosomal RNA", at positions 524 to 776 of the family's 1533-position model. The record is from RNAcentral.